AACCUUUACACUGCACGACAGUGCGAUAGGGGGACUCCGAGUGCGAGGGCAUAUAGUCCUCGCUUUUCUGUACCGUAAGGUGGUACAAGAAUAAGGGCUGGGCAAGACCGGUGCCAGCCGCCGCGGUAAUACCGGCAGCCCGAGUGAUGGCCGCUAUUAUUGGGCCUAAAGCGUCCGUAGCCGGCCAGACAAGUCUGUUGGGAAAUCCACGCGCUUAACGCGUGGACGUCCGGCGGAAACUGUCUGGCUUGGGGCCGGAAGAUCUGAGGGGUACGUCCGGGGUAGGAGUGAAAUCCCGUAAUCCUGGACGGACCGCCGGUGGCGAAAGCGCCUCAGAAAGACGGACCCGACGGUGAGGGACGAAAGCUAGGGUCUCGAACCGGAUUAGAUACCCGGGUAGUCCUAGCUGUAAACGAUGCUCGCUAGGUGUGCCGCAGGCUACGAGCCUGCGCUGUGCCGUAGGGAAGCCGUGAAGCGAGCCGCCUGGGAAGUACGUCUGCAAGGAUGAAACUUAAAGGAAUUGGCGGGGGAGCAC
Molecule: ribosomal RNA, 535 nt
Filed under: uncultured archaeon
Lineage: Archaea
Description: bacterial SSU rRNA
Rfam family: Archaeal small subunit ribosomal RNA
Source: RNAcentral